GCGCCCAUAGCUUAAUGGAUAGAGCAUCUGACUACGGAUCAGAAGGUUGGGGGUUCGACUCCCUCUGGGCGCG
This 73-nucleotide transfer RNA is filed under the name Propionibacterium acidifaciens. RNAcentral's name for it is "tRNA-Arg". It matches the Rfam family "tRNA". Rfam says of the family: Transfer RNA (tRNA) molecules are approximately 80 nucleotides in length. Their secondary structure includes four short double-helical elements and three loops (D, anti-codon, and T loops). The record is from RNAcentral. Lineage: Bacteria; Bacillati; Actinomycetota; Actinomycetes; Propionibacteriales; Propionibacteriaceae.